This 446-nucleotide ribosomal RNA is filed under the name uncultured bacterium. RNAcentral's name for it is "partial 16S ribosomal RNA". It matches the Rfam family "Bacterial small subunit ribosomal RNA", at positions 338 to 795 of the family's 1533-position model. The record is from RNAcentral.
CCUACGGGUGGCAGCAGUCGAGAAUAAUUCUCAAUGGGGGAAAGCCUGAUGCUGCGACGCCGCGUGGGGGAUUGAAGGUCUUCGGAUUGUAAACCUCUGUUAUGUGGGCACAAAUUAAAAAGCUCGUACCCCACGAGGUAGAGCCGGCUAACUCUGUGCCAGCAGCUGCGGUAAUACAGAGGGCUCAAGCGUUGUUCGGAAUCACUUGGCGUAAAGUGUGCGUAGGCGGUUUCGGAAGUCGUGUGUGAAAGGUGCGGGCUCAACCCGAGUACUGCAGCUGAUACUGGGAGACUAGAGUAGUGGAGAGGGAAGCGGAAUGCGCGGUGUAGCGGUGAAAUGCGUAGAUAUCGAGAAGAACACUGGUGGCGAAGGCGGGUUCCUGGACAUUAACUGACGCUGAGGCACGAAAGCCAGGGGAUCGAAAGGGAUUAGAUACCCGAGUAGUC